GACUCGAUAGCUUAAUAGGUAGAGCGGCGGUCUAGAUACCCGAAGAUGCGAGUUCAAAUCUCGCUCGAGCCA
RNAcentral lists this transfer RNA (72 nucleotides) under Paramuricea clavata. It matches the Rfam family "tRNA". Rfam says of the family: Transfer RNA (tRNA) molecules are approximately 80 nucleotides in length. Their secondary structure includes four short double-helical elements and three loops (D, anti-codon, and T loops). Lineage: Eukaryota; Metazoa; Cnidaria; Anthozoa; Malacalcyonacea; Plexauridae. The record is from Rfam by way of RNAcentral.